CAGAUGUUCCAAGUUUAUUUAUGUUGUUUCAAUACACUGACAAAACACCACAGUUUUAACUUCUUCUCUCUCAAGAGUCAAGAGUCAUUUUAUCUUAAACCAGAGGAUUCUCUUAAAGAACACACAUGCACGCACACGCACACGCACACGCACACACACACACACGGUAAGUACAAAAACAAUUCCACCAAAGUGCAUGUGAAUGAAAGUGCAAACAGGCUUCAUUUUCGAACUCUGGGAUCAUUCUCUCUGCUUCAGAAAUUAAACAGAAAGGUCCUCAGCGCCCUAAGCCAGGGCUGGGCAAGGGCUGGUCGCGGCUGCUGGGGCCAAAGUGUAAGCGGUGUCUGCUGCUGGAGAGCAGGGCAGAGGCACAUAGCAUGGGCACUGGCACCAACCCUCUCCCUUCACUGGGCACCCAGGUCAAGGUGCGAUGAUCUUGUCUGGGGACAGGACGGGGGUGAAGGGGCAGUAGGGCAGAUUUCUUUCCUUCUUUUUAUGUUUUUUUGUUUUUUUUUUUCCCAAAGAGUCUGACGUUGGUGCAGAAAGUGCCGAGGUCUCAAAGUUCAGAGCCUGGGGGUCCUUUUCUCAAGGCCCUAAGUCCACCUUGCCCUUCCUGUGGGCAAGCACUAGAAGUGUGGUUGGUAGAUCCACAUGGCAAAGCUGUCCCAGCCCUACUCGCUAGGACAGGUGAGGUCCCGCAGCACAGCUGUGAGCACUUGCUGCCUCCUCUUCACACCACAAAGCCAGUGAGCAUCUCUCCUCAGUUUCAAAGAGGAGCAAAGCCAAGGAGCUGGUGAGUUUUGCCACCACCCAAGCAACCAAGUCAGAGAGGCUCAGACUCGCUCCUCCUUACUCUUGGCCAAGGGGGCAAUGCAACCUCCGUAAACCCGAGUGUCAGCCAGAGGCAGAGACUGCCCACUUUCCUCUCGGGAAGCCUGUGCUCAGAGCUGCCUCUCGGGGCCGAAGGGAAGGAAUGUCCGAAGCCAGGUGGGAGUUCAGCUGGGUGGCUGAAUGGCUGUGCUGACAAAGCUGUGUGACCCCACGUAAGAGAGGGUCUCCUACUGGACUGUGGCAGGAAAUCAACAGAGCUUUGAGUGUCCCACUUCUGUGGGGAAGAUAAAGCUUCAUAUUUUAACAAUAAUAGCCCUUGACGUUUUCCCAGCAUCAAGCCUCAUAGCUGCACCUGUCAAACACUCCCAAGGGUGCCCUAGGUGCACACACACCAUGUGACUGAGGGAAGCGGCCUGGCUCUGCACCCCACGGGCCCAUCUCAGCACCUGGGGCCACAGAAGCGUGGUUUGGUUGCUCCUCACCUCUGUGUAGGGCCAGCUCCCGCCGGGCCCUCUGCCUCUGCCCCACCCCGGCUGGCCUGGCAGUGGCUCGGUGGAGGCUAGGCCCCCACUUGGACAGAAAGGUCUAAGUCCCAGAGCCCCAGCAGGCACCUGGCUGGCAGUGCAGGACAGACGGAGGGUGGUACGAAAGGUAGGGGCCACAGAGAAUUCAAAGCUAGAGGAAUUCGCCUUCCCAAGGCCCAA
Molecule: long non-coding RNA, 1535 nt
Filed under: Lynx pardinus (Iberian lynx)
Lineage: Eukaryota; Metazoa; Chordata; Mammalia; Carnivora; Felidae
Source: RNAcentral